GAAAACAGAAUAUGUAAAAUGUGUGCAUAAGUAGUCACCUCAUUUAAAGUGACUCACCUAAUUCAACACAGAUGCAGAAACUGCAAUGGCGCUGGAAGCCUUAUUGUGUAUUAGUGAAAAUGGAGAUAUUUGAGUGUAGUGAAUGUGUUUCAAGUAACUGUAUUACAAAGUCACUGGUGCAGCAAUGCUCCUGGCUAUAACUGCACAGUAAAGAUAAAAGAGCUUCCCAAGCAGUUCAAUGAAAAGAUUAUUUUAAAAUGUGUAAGUUAUAGGAUGGAUACAGGAAAAUUUCCCAGUCUCUCUUUUGAGUACAGUUAAAUUCAUCGCUAGGAAAUGGAAAAAAAAAUACGCAAAAAUCAAGACAGAGCAGAGAACUGAGUGACCAUGCAAGAAAGACACUAGUGAGGGUGGCCAGCAAGACAGCUAUGACUUCCCUAAUGGAGUUACAAGCAUCAAAGCUUUAUGGGAGAGUGACUAAAUCAUAACAAACAAGCUAUCAUGCAGUUACUGUGAUAUUAAUGUGGAUCAUGUGCUACAUAUAGAAACAGGGCUGGAUGACCUUAUUUUACUUAAAGCUCGGUAACUCACACUUUCUACUCAUGUUACUCUGAAAUAUAAAGUUGGGCUGAUCUGAGUUUCCAGUCCUUAAUGAUCCCACCAGCCCCUCAAGUUGUUCAAAUGGAAAACAAAAUGAAAAGUUCUCCAGACUCCAUCCUGAUACAACUGCAACUCUUGCAGAGCAUGUUUACAUGACUGAAAUUCACAGCUGAUGCAACCUUACAUCAUCACCCACCCAUGUCAGUCUUAUCUGAUGCAAUCUGUAAGAAAUACAGCUAUAAAGCUGCUGGAGUUGCUACUAUGGCACUUUAAGAUGAGAUGCACUUUCAUUGCACAGCUGUUGCAGCCUUUGCUUUGGUCAGGAUGGCCAGUUACGCGCAGUUGACGCAAGAGAAAAAGACUGCUAUUGCUGCUCUACACGAGGAGAGAUGCUCCACCCGUCACAUCGCCAAAAGAGUGUCUUGCAAUCAGUCGACAGUGAGCAGAUUUCUCUCCAAACUCAAGAACACCGGCUCUGCAGCGAGGAAACAAGGAACGGGACGCAAACGCGUGUCUACGGCUAAACAAGACCGAGUUCUGAAGCGCCUGUUCCUCAAAAACCGCAGCGCGUCUUCCUUCGAGCUCAAACGCGAAUGGGAGGAACAUACGGGAGUGGUGGCGAGUGCAGUGACGGUCAGGAGACGCCUCCUGAGGAGCAGAUGCCCUAAGAAGAAGAAGAAGAAGAAGCCCCUCCUCACAGAAAAAAAUAAAAAAGGUGCGGCUAAACUGGUGCAAGGAGCAUGUGGAGUGGACGCCUGAGCACUGGAAGUCUGUCAUUUUCUCGGAUGAGAGGAGAUUCAUCCUCCGUGUGGCUGAUGGACAGAGUGGAGAUCCAGAUUGUUUGGAGGUGAGAUUCCCAACCAGUCAGUUGAUAUGGGGCUGCAUUUCCUAUCAUGGAGUAGGUCGCCUGCAGUUUGUAGAUGGGUCCUUAAAUACCACUGGAUACCUGGCUAUACUGGAGGAAAAGCUGCUGCCAACCAUUAAGGACCAUUUCAAACUGCCAAAUAAGUGUAUCUUUCAGAAAGACUGUACUCCCUGUCAUCGAGCUAAAAGUGUGAAGAAAUGGAUGGAAGAACGGUCCAUUAAAACUCUAAAAUGGCCAGGAAGCAGCCCGGACCUUAAUCCUAUAGAGAACUGUUGGCAUCUUCUGACAUCUGCAGUUGGCAGAAAGAGACCAAAGACCCUCCAUGAACUUCAGGACGCCAUCGUUCAUGUUUGGAACAAUGGAAUUUCACCUGAUUACCUUCAGAUAUUGAUCUUGUCAAUGUCUCAGAGGUGUGCUGCCGUCAUCAGGGCAAGAGGUGGUUCAGUUAAAUUUGUUCCUGCAUGGUGAUGUUUACACUGUAAAAUGAAAAGACUUGAAGGCUUCCAGUAAUAGUCCAGCUACAAACGUUAUGUUUACCAAAAAUGUUAUCUUUGCCUUAAAUAUUAACUGAUGUAGAGCCAAGAGGUGACUCCAAGAUGCUCUUGGCCUCUUUAGGCUACAGUCUUGGCAAACUUCUGUCCACCUCACACAACCACUAGUGAAGCCUGUUAGAGGGCUUUGGCUGUACUCAUAGAAGUGGAGUAAAUAGAAGUGAAAAGAGUGUAACUUUGACUAACUAUUCCAAAUUUCAGAAAUGAAAAAGCUUGGUGUUCUCAAGGUGUAUUUCUAAAUGUCAUACCUGCAUAAGGGAUCAAUAAAUGUAUCGAAAAAAUGUAACUGUUCAGCCUAGAGAGAUUUGAGAUAUUAGUUUCUAUCAGUUUAAGCCUGGCCACCCCAUAAAAAUGUCUGACUGUGUUGCUGACUAUUAAUAAAUAUCUUUUGCUUGUU
Long non-coding RNA from Acanthochromis polyacanthus (spiny chromis), 2410 nucleotides. RefSeq lists it as uncharacterized. Lineage: Eukaryota; Metazoa; Chordata; Actinopteri; Pomacentridae. The record is from RefSeq and is a predicted model, not a curated record. The transcript is spliced from 2 exons.